Molecule: long non-coding RNA, 216 nt
Filed under: Ananas comosus (pineapple)
Lineage: Eukaryota; Viridiplantae; Streptophyta; Magnoliopsida; Poales; Bromeliaceae
Description: long non-coding RNA (ACOM_LNC040840)
Source: RNAcentral
AUUUAGUCUCCCUCCAUCACGAUUCUAUCACUAUUCCGUCCAUUUUUUAUAUUUUAUAUCGAAAAUGCCCUUCAAAAUGACAGAAAUAUAUUUAGAAGUUAUUAUAUUUUCUUAUAGAAGAAGUAAGAAUAAUUUGAUUAUUUACCCUCUUCAUUAAUAUCGUAUCCUCCGAAAAUAUUUCUGAAAUUUUAAUGGGACAAAAUAUAGAUUUUUGUA